Molecule: ribosomal RNA, 253 nt
Filed under: uncultured bacterium
Lineage: Bacteria
Description: partial 16S ribosomal RNA
Rfam family: Bacterial small subunit ribosomal RNA
Source: RNAcentral
UACGGGGGGGGCGAGCGUUGUUCGGAAUUACUGGGCGUAAAGGGCGCGUAGGCGGCCCACUAAGUCGAACGUGAAAUCCCCCGGCUCAACCGGGGAACUGCGUCCGAGACUGGAGGGCUGGAAUCCGGGAGAGGGAUGCGGAAUUCCAGGUGUAGCGGUGAAAUGCGUAGAUAUCUGGAGGAACACCGGUGGCGAAGGCGGCAUCCUGGACCGGCAUUGACGCUGAGGCGCGAAAGCCAGGGGAGCAAACGGG